GUAGGUACAAAGAAAUAUAAAGAGGGCAAAAGUGAGAAAAAAAGACGGGUACAGAGACCGGUCACUCUCUCUCAUCAUACCCGGACUUUCUCUCUCUCCAAUCGUUAAAACAUUUGGACACCAACAAUCUGAUUAUUUAGAAAAAGUUAAGGGAAAUUUUUACGGUAUACUGUAAUUUGGUGUGUGAUUUUCCGAUGGAUUUUGAAAUUUGAAAUAUUUCCAACGGCAUUAAUUUGUUAAUUUUUUAUUCUUCUAACACCUUAAACAAUUUUUACUCGUAAAAAAAUAAUUUUGCGUAAUUUUUUUGCCUUACACAAGUCCUGUAAGGACAAAGACAUCCAUCUCUCUACCCCAAGCCUAUCCCCCUCUCUCCCCCAAUCUGAGCUCAUAAAAGCCAACAUGAGUUUACAAGAUUGUCCUAUACGAUAACUCGCGGGUUGCUCCAUCUAUUGGCCUACAAGGCCAACAAACACAACUCCAUAGGGAGGGACGUACAAGUUUGGAUGAAGUGAAGUAGAUAAAAAUUACACCCAACUUCGAUGACUUCAAUGGAGUGCAGGUCCAGACUUGUGGACAUGGAUUUGAGCUCUGCACCAUACGCCUCUCUCUGGCUCAAACCUUCUCUCUGUAUACCCCAACCCAUCUCUCUCCCCUUCCCCUUCCCCCUCCCCCUCCCCCAACCCCCAUACGUGCCAUACCCGAUUUUGAGCUCUGCCAUAGACAAAUCUGGCUUUAUUGAGCAACAUGCUUUUGAGCCCCAAACCUAUUCAUUCUAGAGGGAGAAUGACGAUGCUCAUUAGGUUCAAGUAUUCAGGCUUGAGCUCCUCAACCAAACAAUUUGACGCAGGCAUGGAAUGAACUGAUUUGGGUUUUUUUAUGUAUUUCAAUUCUUGUAUUUAAUGGGAGAAGCUCACCCUAAAGAGGGUGAUAUGUGAAUAGAGACUUUGUAUUGAGAUCUUGUAAAGAACUCAAUGGGGGUAGAUUCUCUUUUAAACUUUGAUAGAUAGUAUAUUAUCUCGUUGGGGGUAGAUUCUUUUGCUGAUUCUGAAAGAGGAUAAAUUCUCUCACCUUUAUUAAAUUGUUAUUUUUG
Molecule: long non-coding RNA, 1090 nt
Filed under: Amborella trichopoda
Lineage: Eukaryota; Viridiplantae; Streptophyta; Magnoliopsida; Amborellales; Amborellaceae
Description: long non-coding RNA (ATRI_LNC003182)
Source: RNAcentral